ACUCUGAAUAUCGUGUGAAAUCAGUCCAAUGGAAGAGCGUGACGUCACGGGCGGGGUGACGUAAGCGACCAGGAAGCUAUAAAAGCACAUGCCGCGCAGCUGGCAUCAGCUUUGCGUCUUCAGCAAGCGCUCUGUGUGUGCAUGUCAUUUUGUCUUGUGAGUCUUAUUUACUGUUGUCUGUCCAGUAGAGCUCCAAGCAAUGUCCAAGUGCAAGGCGAAAUCCAAACACUCUAAAGGCGAAUCCGGAUCGCGUUUCAGACUGUGUGUCCCUCCCUGCCCGCGCUACAUUACGAGCGGGGAUACACACAGUCUGUGCGUGGUCUGCCUGGGUUCGAAGCACGCCGAGUCGGCUCUCGAGGGGGCCGACUGUCCGCAUUGUGAGAGGAUGUCGGUGCGGCUGCUUCGUUCCCGGAGGGCUCUCUUUGAGGAGGGAGCCUUCGCCAGCGUUCCCCGCGGUGCUGGCCCCGCUUCUGCCGAGGCAGAACGGCAGCUGCACUCGUGGGGUUCGCAAGUGGAUCUGACAGAGGGAAUGGAGACGGGCGAGUCCCUAUCUCCUUCCACUUCUGCCAGAUCCGGCGCCCAAUCUCUGGAGUCGGAAGCACGCUCUGCGGUUCCUUCCACCCAGGGAGAGGGAUCGACACUCCGCCUCUCUUCCUCCGAGGAGGUCGAUGUGGAGUCUGUCGACAGGGAUUCGCCACCCCACUCGCCUAGGUAUGAGGAGCUCUUGGAGGUGGUGACUCGUGCGGUGGCCAAGUUGAGUCUUGACUGGCCCGCCGAGAAAACAACCGAACCGCAGAAAAGCAAGCUCGACGAACGCUUUCUGCGGGCGAGUCAGCCACCUCCUUGCCGGGGCCUUCCUUUUUUUCCCGAUCUACAUGAAGAGAUCGCUAGAUCGUGGAAGAGGCCAUUCUCAGCCCGCCUGUAUAUCCCCUCUUCAGAUUACUACGGCAAUGUAGUGGGGAUUACAGAGCGCGGCUACAGAGCGAUGCCCCGGGUGGAACAGACGCUCGCGAGCUAUCUGUCCCCCGGUACGGCAUCGUCUCUGAAGGCCCCGGCAUUGCCCUCCAAGCCGCUCAGAACAACUUCGGCUUUGGUGGGCAAAGGGUAUGCGGCAGCAGGUCAGGCUGGUGCGUGUCUGCACACCAUGGCGGUGUUACAGGCGUACCAGGCUGACCUGCUGAAGGAGCUUGAUGAGGGAGAGGAGAUCAAGUCCGAUGACAUCACUGAGCUCAGAAGGACCGCUGAUCUCUCCCUCCGCGCCACCAAGGAGACCGCCCGAGCGAUUGGGCGGUCCAUGGCAGCUAUGGUGGCUGCGGAGAGGCAUUUGUGGCUGACCCUGUCUGAAAUGAAAGAGCGGGACAGGGUCUGCCUUAUGGACGCCCCGAUCCAGCCUUCUGGCCUGUUCGGCGACGCAGUCAACGACAGGUUUCAGGAG
This is a long non-coding RNA of Cyprinus carpio (common carp), 1435 nucleotides long. The record is from Ensembl. NCBI's taxonomy places the organism in Eukaryota, Metazoa, Chordata, Actinopteri, Cypriniformes, Cyprinidae.